Molecule: long non-coding RNA, 1018 nt
Organism: Chinchilla lanigera (long-tailed chinchilla)
Lineage: Eukaryota; Metazoa; Chordata; Mammalia; Rodentia; Chinchillidae
Exons: 5
Source: RefSeq, a predicted model, not a curated record
GGCAGGUGUUGUGCCGCUGAGCUAAAUCCCCAGCCCCUCCACAGCAAUUUUAUAAAGCUGGUGUUGUCCCCACUUUUCCAGAUGAGGAAACUGAGACUCAGCCUGCAGCUGUGACUCCAGGAACCCAGCCUCCAGCAGGAGGGGAAUUGCUGAUAAUUGCCACCCUCCACGACUACCGCCACCAAAUGGGACACAGCUGGGCCCCCCUCAGCAUCCAUCCCCCCGUCCUCCCAGCCCAGAACUGGGGUUGGUAAAAGGACCUCGGAUGGGCUUACGGCGUAACCGUAACUUAUGGAUCAGCUGCUUGAACUUCCGCACUGCGGGCACUGGUCUGGAUAACAAGUGUGAAGACAAAGAAAAGGAGGAACAGUUCAGGCUGGCGGGAGCACAGAGCACGAAGCAGCUGCAGUUAUGAGGGUUGCGUGAGACGACGUUGGAUAUGGGCCACAUGACAUUCUCGACGGCUUGUUUAUCUGGUAUAAAGAAAGGAAGGCAUCUGUCUGAGAGCAGGGCAGCUUUUCCUGGCAGAAGAGCUGGAGGGAUCUGUCUCCAGCAAAGAACAUCACAGGCAAAUGGGGAGCAAGCAGAGAGGACCCAGCACCUGUGAAAACCAUCUCCAGGGUCUGCAAACAUCUGGAAGGGAUCUGGACAAAUCGGUGCCCCUCCUUCCCCCAUGCCUUCCCAGCAGGGGUGCAUCCUUCGUGUCUCUGCCUUCCAGGAAACCCACAGCGGGUCAGUACCUUCAGAAGACAGCCGGCCCCAGCGCCUCGGCCCGUGCCAGAGCUCACCUCUAGAGGGCAGCCUUAACCUUUAAACCGUGGCAGCUUCCAUUCAAAGGCCAAACAGGAGGGCGAAGUGACAUCUACCUAAGGGAGCUAUUGGACCUGGCUGCCCUGUAGGUGCAUUCGCUGAGGCACAGGACCCCCUUUCAGGCACAUCGUUAUCUCCACUUUACCCUCAAGGAAACUAAGGCUUGCGGCACAGCUCCUGCUUGGCAAGCGUGAGGUCAUGAGUUCGA